AGAAGUGCAACUUUGUAACUUCACUUUAGCCUCUGAUUGCAGGCCACCACUUCAUUUACAUGGGUGCGUUUUGUUCAAUUCUUUGUUCAAAACCCCAAGAAUCUGGACAACUUGCACUCAAGACCCUCUACGGGUUUGGCGAGCCAGAGACCAUCAAGCUUCAGAUGAUCAUGUGACAGGGUUUCCAGCCAGUUCCAGGUGAAGACACCACCCCUGGCCAUCAAGAAGUCACCCGGUCUCCACUAGACAGAGUAGGGUGAGAGUUCCGUGAUCUCCAACCGGUAGUGAUUAUGCCCCAAGUCAGCAUAAAGAAGUUACGGAAGAAAAACCAUCAGUCCCUCUGUCUCACAUAAAGACUUAUGGGGAUCACGUUUCUCAGAGGGGAGAUGAGGCAGGAGAAUAGGGUCUGGAGGCAGGGAACCUAAGGCCGUUUCACACUGACUUCUUAGAACUAAAUUGAAAGGAAAACCCUAAUUUUCCAUGCCUAAGUAACAAAAGGACCAGAGGCUACUCCCUUUGCAAACCCCCACCUUUUCUGUGUGGCAUAUGGGAAAUUGAAAGUACCUCUGAUUGAUUGUUUUCUGCAACCAAUCAGAUGUUUGCAUUGGAGUGUAACUUUGUAAUUUCACUUCAGUCUCUGAUUGGUUGCUGCAGUCUGGAAAUUCUGCAGGCCAAGUCUUCGUUUGCAUAGAAGUGCAACUUUGUAACUUCAUCUUAGCCUCUGAUUGGUUGCUUUCUGCAACCAAUCAGAUGUUUGCAUAGGCGUGUGACCUUUGUAACUUCACUUCAGCUUCUGAUUGGUUGCUUUCCACAACCAAUCAGACUGAUUGUGGGCCACCACUUCCUUUACGUGAGGUGAACACCAAGUGGCCAAUGGAAAACCUCAAGAGGGUAUUUGGACCUGAGAAGAUUCUGUAUCUGGGGCCCUUGAGCUGCUGCUCUGCCCACUCUCACAUGGUGGAGUGUAAUUUCACUUUGAAUAAAUCUCUGCUUUUGUUGCUU
RNAcentral lists this long non-coding RNA (1002 nucleotides) under Homo sapiens (human). RNAcentral's name for it is "long intergenic non-protein coding RNA 1232". Lineage: Eukaryota; Metazoa; Chordata; Mammalia; Primates; Hominidae. The record is from RNAcentral.